AACGAACGCUGGCGGCAGGCUUAACACAUGCAAGUCGAACGCAUCCUUCGGGGUGAGUGGCAGACGGGUGAGUAACGCGUGGGAACGUGCCCUUCAGUUCGGGAUAACCCAGGGAAACUUGGGCUAAUACCGGAUUCGUGCGAGAGCAGAAAGAUUUAUCGCUGAAGGAUCGGCCCGCGUCUGAUUAGCUAGUUGGUGGGGUAAUGGCCCACCAAGGCGACGAUCAGUAGCUGGUCUGAGAGGAUGAUCAGCCACAUUGGGACUGAGACACGGCCCAAACUCCUACGGGAGGCAGCAGUGGGGAAUAUUGGACAAUGGGCGCAAGCCUGAUCCAGCCAUGCCGCGUGAGUGAUGAAGGCCUUAGGGUUGUAAAGCUCUUUCGUCCGGGACGAUAAUGACGGUACCGGAAGAAGAAGCCCCGGCUAACUCUGUGCCAGCCGCCGCCGUAA
This 449-nucleotide ribosomal RNA is filed under the name uncultured bacterium. RNAcentral's name for it is "partial 16S ribosomal RNA". It matches the Rfam family "Bacterial small subunit ribosomal RNA", at positions 29 to 523 of the family's 1533-position model. The record is from RNAcentral.